ACUGCGAUCAAAAGGUUCCGAGAGGAAACAGUACGUGACUGUAAUGACGAAGCCAAUUCGAAAGAUGAUAGCACAAUCAACAUUGCUGGGCAUCAUUGAAGUAUAUUUUUUGAUCCGCCUCAUCUUCUCAAAGGGUUAGCGUAGCGGCGCAAGUUUUUAGCGGCCAUGCUAAACUACACAGCUGCGCUUAAUAAGCUUCACACUGGUUCAGUCUCAAAUGACACCAUGGAAGCUACAGCUGAAAUUAUCGAAUUUUUCGACACCCUGUUCGACAGUGUCAACGGCUCCCCCUGGCGGCACCACAAAAGGGAAACUGAGAAAAGCAGUAAAACAAAACUCAGCACAUAAUCAUUUCUGGUUAGAAGCAAUUGAAAAAUUAAAUAAAUUGCAAUAUGAAGACACCAGUAGCAAAUUGGCUGUAAGGCAAAGAAAUCCUCGAUUGGUUCGAGUACCGUCUCUGGAAGGAUGGAUUGUAACAUUAUCAAGUUUCAGUAGGUAUAUUGUUUGACAAAUAUGGCGUGGAAUAUUAUUACCCUCGAAAUAUUAACCAAGACCCACUGGAAACCUUUUUUGUGAGGGCUCUCAAUUACAGAAA
This is a long non-coding RNA of Cydia amplana, 595 nucleotides long. RefSeq lists it as uncharacterized. Lineage: Eukaryota; Metazoa; Arthropoda; Insecta; Lepidoptera; Tortricidae. The transcript has 3 exons. The record is from RefSeq and is a predicted model, not a curated record.